AGUCGAACGCGUUGGCCCAAUUGAUUGAUGGUGCUUGCACCUGAUUGAUUUUGGUCGCCAACGAGUGGCGGACGGGUGAGUAACACGUAGGUAACCUGCCCAGAAGCGGGGGACAACAUUUGGAAACAGAUGCUAAUACCGCAUAACAGCGUUGUUCGCAUGAACAACGCUUAAAAGAUGGCUUCUCGCUAUCACUUCUGGAUGGACCUGCGGUGCAUUAGCUUGUUGGUGGGGUAACGGCCUACCAAGGCGAUGAUGCAUAGCCGAGUUGAGAGACUGAUCGGCCACAAUGGGACUGAGACACGGCCCAUACUCCUACGGGAGGCAGCAGUAGGGAAUCUUCCACAAUGGGCGCAAGCCUGAUGGAGCAACACCGCGUGAGUGAAGAAGGGUUUCGGCUCGUAAAGCUCUGUUGUUAAAGAAGAACACGUAUGAGAGUAACUGUUCAUACGUUGACGGUAUUUAACCAGAAAGUCACGGCUAACUACGUGCCAGCAGCCGCGGUAAUACGUAGGUGGCAAGCGUUAUCCGGAUUUAUUGGGCGUAAAGAGAGUGCAGGCGGUUUUCUAAGUCUGAUGUGAAAGCCUUCGGCUUAACCGGAGAAGUGCAUCGGAAACUGGAUAACUUGAGUGCAGAAGAGGGUAGUGGAACUCCAUGUGUAGCGGUGGAAUGCGUAGAUAUAUGGAAGAACACCAGUGGCGAAGGCGGCUACCUGGUCUGCAACUGACGCUGAGACUCGAAAGCAUGGGUAGCGAACAGGAUUAGAUACCCUGGUAGUCCAUGCCGUAAACGAUGAGUGCUAGGUGUUGGAGGGUUUCCGCCCUUCAGUGCCGGAGCUAACGCAUUAAGCACUCCGCCUGGGGAGUACGACCGCAAGGUUGAAACUCAAAGGAAUUGACGGGGGCCCGCACAAGCGGUGGAGCAUGUGGUUUAAUUCGAAGCUACGCGAAGAACCUUACCAGGUCUUGACAUCUUGCGCCAACCCUAGAGAUAGGGCGUUUCCUUCGGGAACGCAAUGACAGGUGGUGCAUGGUCGUCGUCAGCUCGUGUCGUGAGAUGUUGGGUUAAGUCCCGCAACGAGCGCAACCCUUGUUACUAGUUGCCAGCAUUAAGUUGGGCACUCUAGUGAGACUGCCGGUGACAAACCGGAGGAAGGUGGGGACGACGUCAGAUCAUCAUGCCCCUUAUGACCUGGGCUACACACGUGCUACAAUGGACGGUACAACGAGUCGCGAACUCGCGAGGGCAAGCAAAUCUCUUAAAACCGUUCUCAGUUCGGACUGCAGGCUGCAACUCGCCUGCACGAAGUCGGAAUCGCUAGUAAUCGCGGAUCAGCAUGCCGCGGUGAAUACGUUCCCGGGCCUUGUACACACCGCCCGUCACACCAUGAGAGUUUGUAACACCCAAAGUCGGUGGGGUAACCUUUUAGGAGCCAGCCGCCUAAGGUGGGACAGAUGAUUAGGGUGAAUCG
RNAcentral lists this ribosomal RNA (1471 nucleotides) under Limosilactobacillus fermentum. RNAcentral describes it as "bacterial SSU rRNA". It matches the Rfam family "Bacterial small subunit ribosomal RNA". Lineage: Bacteria; Bacillati; Bacillota; Bacilli; Lactobacillales; Lactobacillaceae. The record is from RNAcentral.